Molecule: ribosomal RNA, 460 nt
Filed under: uncultured bacterium
Lineage: Bacteria
Description: partial 16S ribosomal RNA
Rfam family: Bacterial small subunit ribosomal RNA
Source: RNAcentral
CCUACGGGAGGCAGCAGUGAGGAAUAUUGGUCAAUGGACGAGAGUCUGAACCAGCCACGUAGCGUGAAGGAUGACUGCCCUCUGUGUUUUAAACUUCUUUUAUAAAGGAAUAAAACGCGGCACGUGUGCCUUUUUGCAUGUACUUUAUGAUUAAGGCUCCGCUAACUCUGUGCCAGCAGCCGCGGUAAUACGGAGGGUCCGAGCGUUAUCCGUAUUUAUUGGGUUUACAGGGAGCGUAGUUGGAGUGUUAAGUCAGUUGUGAAAGUUUGCGGCUCAACCGUAAAAGUGCAAUUGAGACUGGCAGUCUUGAGUACAGGUGAGGUAGGCGGAAUUCGUGGUGUAGCGGUGAAAUGCUUAGAUAUCACGAAGAACCCCGAUUGCGAAGGCAGCUUACUAAACUGUAACUGACAUUGAUGCUCGAAAGUGUGGGGAUCAAACAGGAUUAGAUACCCCGGUAGUC